Daucus carota subsp. sativus is the source of this 1505-nucleotide long non-coding RNA. RefSeq lists it as uncharacterized. The transcript is spliced from 3 exons. The record is from RefSeq and is a predicted model, not a curated record. NCBI's taxonomy places the organism in Eukaryota, Viridiplantae, Streptophyta, Magnoliopsida, Apiales, Apiaceae.
ACCCUGGUCCCAAACAAAUGCUUAUAUAAUACUUUUGAAUGUAUUAAAAUAGUUUUCGGGAUUUUUAGAUUUAACAAAAAUAUUUUGUUUUAGGAUUUAUAAGGAAUUUGCGAAUAGUAAGGUGACCCUAUAAAGGAGAAUGGACAUGAAGGGGUAAAAAUAAAAGUCUCAGAAUAAUUUGUAGAUAUUUUAUAAAUUACCAGAGCGGAGAAAUAGUGAACAGAAGUACGGUCAGAAUUGUAUGAUUUUGCACCGAAUUGUGAUUAUAAAAUCCAGUUAUUAGAAAAUAGGUGAAAAUAGAAAAGACACAAAAUGAGCCAAGAAUUUUCAUAGAGUAUCUAAAUAAAUUGUGGAACUCAUUUAUGAAUUUUCGGAAAUUUUACGAAGCUCAAGGAAGUUAAAAUGAAAAGGAAUAAAGGAGCCGGAUACCCAAGAUUUCCGGACUGCAAAAUGACCUUUAAACUAAACCAGCGGAAUUUCAGAAGGAAUACUGAAGAGAAGGUUAGUACGUUUAUGAUCUUUGGAGUCUCUAGAACAUUCCUAUAUUGAGUUUGAAGAAAAAUCUCGAGAUUAAGAGUGGACAGGGAUCAGUGGAAAAAUAUCAGACCGAUACAUCCCUAAGAAAAAGUGAAAAAUUUCCGGACUCCAAAUGAGCUCAUUUUACAGUCAAAAAUUCCCAAAUAAUAUAUUAGGAAUUAUUAUAUCAUCAGAAUUCGUCAACGAGAUCAAGAAUAGGGAGAUUUAAUUUAAGAUUUCAAAAAAAAAAAAAUUAGCUUAAAGGGAUAAUGAUCAGGAAUUCUCUCGAAUCAUGUUGGCUAAUCCAGAAGUUGGCACGUGGCAAAUACUUAAGGAUAACUUCAUUUUAGUUUAUGAAACUCAGAACAUCAUCAGCUUGUCUGAAGUUUUGGCCGAAGCAAGUGAGAAGAAAAGAAAGAAAAUAAGAAAGAAACUAAGAAAGAAUUCAAGAAAAAUUCAUAGAAAAAUAUUUCUAGCUCGGAUUUUCGUGUUCUAUAGCUUGUUGGAAAGAUCCCUUCAAGACCUCUAAUUCAAGAGGUGCACAGAGAGGUGCAGAAGAACCUUAAGGACAGGAAGCUGUGAUUGAGUUGCUGAAGUAAGGAUAUGAAUAGUUAGUAGAGUAUUUUUGUAUGAGUGCUCAGUGGAGAUUGUAGAUAGUGCCUAAGAGACGGUGGUCCAGCAGGAUGCUCCAGACUCCUCCAUCAGCCGAUGCACAUAAAUGUAGUUUGAGAGAUUGUGUUUAUGUACUCUAGGCUUACUGAGUGUGCAAGAAAAUCAUGAAGAUAUAUUUAUGUUUAAAUUCUGAGUAUGUGUGGUGGAUAUGGAUGAUGGAAAUGUAUUGAAAUUUAUGUGGCUUGGUAAAUGUUGUUGAAGUAGUUGAGAUUUUAUGUUCUGAUAAAGAUCAAAAUAUAGCCAAGCGAUAGCUGAAGAUGAUACUAUCCACUUAUACAGGAAAUUAUAUUUCAUAAUAUUGUUAAAUUAGAUGAUUU